Molecule: RNA transcript, 3052 nt
Organism: Brassica napus (rape)
Lineage: Eukaryota; Viridiplantae; Streptophyta; Magnoliopsida; Brassicales; Brassicaceae
Gene name: glycine-rich RNA-binding protein RZ1C-like
Exons: 1
Source: RefSeq, a predicted model, not a curated record
AAUAACCAUUUUAUAGUGGUUAGUCCACCAAUUUAAGGAGUAUUAUGAAGUUUUACUAAAUUAAUUGACAAAAAAAUUAAAACGAUGUCCAUGUACCAAAAAAUAUAGUUUAAUAUACAUUUGUAGAAUGUGAUCUCUCCAAGAUAGAAGAAGAUGAUAUCACUAAGAUCGAAGAUUUUCUCGGUAAGGCCAUCCCAAAUUGUUUUGUUUGUUUGUUUGAAAUUUUAUCUGUCACAGUAAAAUAAUAAUAAUAGAUGCAUCACUGAAACUCUUUUGCAUUGCUUAGAGCCUAUCACACCCGACAAUGGGACUAGGACAGUCAUCUUCUGGGACGCCGUGGAUUGCCCAUUCCCUCUUUCUUUCUCUCCUGAUCAGAUCUAUCAAUCUAUCCAAUCAGCUCUUGUUAAAAUGGGUUCUAGUGAUAAGAUUACAAUUCGGGCUUAUGUCAAUGAUACCAAGAAAACGUCUAAAAAGACGUGGGAUUCAAGAAUCUACUUUCUUCCCGGAGGUGAUUUCCAAACUUUUUCUUUAUAUCUACUGUGUAGUCUUUUAUACUCUCACUUCCAUUUGAUAAUAUAUUUCUUUCUUUUUUCCAGGGGAUAAAGCAUCAAGACGUGUUAGAAUGUUGAAUAACAUUUUUCUAUUGCUAAAGGACUCUCCUUAUUUGAACAGGCCUUAUGAAGCAAGUUUGGUCCUAGUCUCAGAUCAAUUCAAACAUGACGCUUACUACAUCGAGAUGCUUCGAAAUUUGAAGCUCAUACAUUACUAUGUUAUCUUAGUAACUCCGACUGAGGACAUCAACAAGCCAGAAAGCCCUGAAUGGCCAGGAUUGCUAAUAGAUAUAGGAGGAUGGUGCCCUUUUAAUGAUGAAACAAGCGAACCUUGUUCCAAAAAGUAUAAAGGCGGCUGAAGAAACGCCUUAGGGUCGUCGGAUUAUUACUAUCUUUUAUCUUUUUUUGUCUUAUGUGCUUCCUUUAGUUUGGCUUAGUGUUUUGAAUUUCGUUAUGCUUGUGCUUCAAUGUGUGUGGUGUUAUAACCCCCUGUGAUGCACCACUUACGUAUGUUCGCUAUAUGUGCGAGGAACAAAAAAAAAUAUUUGGUUUGUUACCUUUUUAAUUUUAUAGAUAUACAUAAUGCAACAUCUUCUAUAGAGAUAGGGGCUGAUCAUGCUAUGCCUUUAUUGUAUCAUCCACAUAUGAUUCACGUAUAUAUUGCUUUUGUUAAAAUCAUACAUCUACAUUUCUUUUUGGUAAAUAUGAACGUGAAUCACAUGAUACAUGAAGAAAUACAUGAUUUUAUUAAAGAGAUACCAUUAUACCAAUCGUUCACGUGGGUUUGGGUUUAUCACUUUCGCUGAUCGCCUGGCUAUGGAUGAGUCCAUCAGAGAGAUGCAUGGAAAAGACUUUGGUGAUCGGGUCAUCUCAGUGAACAGAGCUGAACUAAAAAUGGGGCGAGAUGAUGGGAAAGUCACGGCUCUAGAGUUGGUGGCAGAGACAGUGUGGCUAUUCAUUUGCUGGCAAGGGAAGCUUUGGUGGCCAUGUUGACUUGACUGUUAUACCGACCGUGACCGAUAUGUGGACCGUGAACGUUACAUAGAUGACGUUAUGAUGGUGGUAGAGACAGGUUUGACAGCAGAGAAGCCUACUUCCCCCGCUGAUCGGUUUGCAGGCGGUGAUAGAUACAGCCGUGGACCAGAUUGUUACACUCCAGCGAGUUAUGACAAGCCCCGGUCCUUUGAGAGAGACAUAGUCUCAAGUGCAGGCAGUGACAGGUACGGCGGUGGUAGAGCUGGUGUACACAUACGUGGAGGAGACGAGGGAAGAGGGUUUAGAAGCAGAGCCGGUGGUCCUUAUGAGAGGCCGAGCAGAAGCGUUGGUGGUGGUGGUCAUAUGUCGUCAGCUACUUUUGACCGUUACUAAGGCAUACAUGAAAAGUUAUUUACUCUCACUUGUGUGUAUGUGUUAUUUAAUAUUUUCUGCUGCAGUAACAAAAUUAUUUCUAAAUAAAACCAUUCGCUACUGACCAUAUAGACAACGACCGUCUCAGAAGGUUAUCGAGCUUUUCUAAUUUUAAUCUUCUUUAAAUUUGGCUUUCUACAUUUAGCAUAAAUCGAUAUAAAGAAGAGAAAACAGAUUUUAACGCAUAACCUCCAAGAAAUUAUAUACGAAAACUUGUAUAAAUACAUCAAAUGUGAGUUUAACAUUUUCAAAAAACUGAACACAAAAAUAAAAUAAAAAUGAAACUUUUCAUAAUUGCUCUUAUUGUUUUAGGGGUUUGUGUUGAAGAUACGUUUGGGAAAAAUUCAUUUGGGAUCGUAAACAAGUUUCGAAGGCAUACAAAGCUCAGUGUCCGUUGCUGGUCCGGAAACGACAAGUUUGGGACUAUAUUCUUAAUGAAUGGGCAAGAAAAACAUUGGAGAUUCGACGAUGCGUUUUUUCAUGAGACAGUCUUUCAUUGUGAGUUAAAGCAUGGAUAUCACUUCAUGCAUUUCCAAACCUUCGUAGCUUAUACGUCAAAAUGGAAUGACUCACUCAAGAAUAGAUCUAACGCGACAUGGUUAGCCGCAGAGAAAGGUCUCUACAAAAUAUGGGAACAUAGGUCUCCUGAAUUUAUGUAUCAUUGGUUAUAAACCAGUUGUCUAAUAUUUAGCCUGUUGCAAUUUAAUAUUCGAGAAUAUUUUAUGUAUAUAUAAUAUUUGAGACACGAAAGAUGUCCUCGCAUAUAUGAUCGUACAAAUGUUUCAUAAUCUAAUUAAGUUGUAUAUUUGAAAGCCAUAUAUGUUGUUUUUUAAUAUAUACAAAUGUAUAGUUGAUAUUAGUUGGUCAGUUAUACUCUGUAAUAUUAUUUAAAUCUAUUAACUCAAAAUAAUAUUCUGGAUUUAUUUAUUGUUAUGAUUAUUUAUGGGCUUAAUAAUGAUUUUGUUUAAUCUGAAACCAUAUAUGCAAUAUAUUUAUUUUUGAUGACAUUGCAAUUAAUGCCAUAUCAAUUUAAUGUAAUUUAAUGAUUCUUUACGUAUACGUAUACAUAUAACAUUUUCAAAGAAGUUAUUCAG